This 1399-nucleotide ribosomal RNA is filed under the name bacterium NLAE-zl-C615. Its description in RNAcentral is "16S ribosomal RNA". It matches the Rfam family "Bacterial small subunit ribosomal RNA". The record is from RNAcentral.
AGUCGAGGGGCAGCAUUUCAGUUUGCUUGCAAACUGGAGAUGGCGACCGGCGCACGGGCUGAGUAACACGCUAUCCAACCUGCCGAUAACUCGGGGAUAGCCUUUCGAAAGAAAGAUUAAUACCCGAUGGNAUAAUCAGACCGCAUGGUCUUNUUAUUAAAGAAUUUCGGUUAUCGAUGGGGAUGCGUUCCAUUAGGCAGUUGGUGAGGUAACGGCUCACCAAACCUUCGAUGGAUAGGGGUUCUGAGAGGAAGGUCCCCCACAUUGGAACUGAGACACGGUCCAAACUCNUACGGGAGGCAGCAGUGAGGAAUAUUGGUCAAUGGGCGCAGGCCUGAACCAGCCAAGUAGCGUGAAGGAUGACUGCCCUAUGGGUUGUAAACUUCUUUUAUAUGGGAAUAAAGUUUUCCACGUGUGGAAUUUUGUAUGUACCAUAUGAAUAAGGAUCGGCUAACUCCGUGCCAGCAGCCGCGGUAAUACGGAGGAUCCGAGCGUUAUCCGGAUUUAUUGGGUUUAAAGGGAGCGUAGGUGGACAGUUAAGUCAGUUGUGAAAGUUUGCGGCUCAACCGUAAAAUUGCAGUUGAUACUGGCUGUCUUGAGUACAGUAGAGGUGGGCGGAAUUCGUGGUGUAGCGGUGAAAUGCUUAGAUAUCACGAAGAACUCCGAUUGCGAAGGCAGCUCACUGGACUGCAACUGACACUGAUGCUCGAAAGUGUGGGUAUCAAACAGGAUUAGAUACCCUGGUAGUCCACACAGUAAACGAUGAAUACUCGCUGUUUGCGAUAUACAGUAAGCGGCCAAGCGAAAGCAUUAAGUAUUCCACCUGGGGAGUACGCCGGCAACGGUGAAACUCAAAGGAAUUGACGGGGGCCCGCACAAGCGGAGGAACAUGUGGUUUAAUUCGAUGAUACGCGAGGAACCUUACCCGGGCUUAAAUUGCAUUUGAAUAUUUUGGAAACAGUNUAGCCGNAAGGCAAAUGUGAAGGUGCUGCAUGGUUGUCGUCAGCUCGUGCCCUGAGGUGUCGGCUUAAGUGCCAUAACGAGCGCAACCCUUAUCUUUAGUUACUAACAGGUCAUGCUGAGGACUCUAGAGAGACUGCCGUCGUAAGAUGUGAGGAAGGUGGGGAUGACGUCAAAUCAGCACGGCCCUUACGUCCGGGGCUACACACGUGUUACAAUGGGGGGUACAGAAGGCAGCUACCUGGUGACAGGAUGCUAAUCCCAAAAGCCUCUCUCAGUUCGGAUCGAAGUCUGCAACCCGACUUCGUGAAGCUGGAUUCGCUAGUAAUCGCGCAUCAGCCAUGGCGCGGUGAAUACGUUCCCGGGCCUUGUACACANCGCCCGUCAAGCCAUGAAAGCCGGGGGUACCUGAAGUACGUAACCGCAAGGAGCUCCUAGG